Molecule: ribosomal RNA, 253 nt
Filed under: uncultured bacterium
Lineage: Bacteria
Also listed under: 1 other name
Description: partial 16S ribosomal RNA
Rfam family: Bacterial small subunit ribosomal RNA
Source: RNAcentral
GACAGAGGGUGCAAACGUUGUUCGGAAUUACUGGGCGUAAAGCGCGUGUAGGCGGCUAUGCAAGUCGGGUGUGAAAUCCCACGGCUCAACCGUGGAAGUGCACUCGAAACUACGUAGCUGGAGUUCUGGAGAGGAAGGUGGAAUGCUCGGUGUAGAGGUGAAAUUCGUAGAUAUCGAGUGGAACACCGGUGGCGAAGGCGGCCUUCUGGACAGAAACUGACGCUGAGACGCGAAAGCGUGGGGAGCAAACAGG